AGAGUUUGAUCCUGGCUCAGAACGAACGCUGGCGGUGCGUCUUAAGCAUGCAAGUCGAACGGGAUUCAGCAGCUUGCUGUUGAUGAGAGUGGCGGACUGGUGAGUAACACGUGGGUGACAUACCCUCCUGACGGGGAUAGCCUUUAGAAAUAAGGGGUAAUACCGGAUACGCACGUACAGGUUAGAGGUGUACGUGGAAAGGGAGCUUCGGCUCCGCGGGAGGAAUGGCUUGCGGCCCAUUAGCUGGUUGGUGUGGUAACGGCGCACCAAGGCGAUGAUGGGUAUCCGGCCUGAGAGGGUGAACGGACACAUUGGGACUGAGAUACGGCCCAGACUCCUACGGGAGGCAGCAGCUAAGAAUAUUCCGCAAUGGACGGAAGUCUGACGGAGCGACACCGCGUGAAUGAAGAAGGCCGGAAGGUUGUAAAGUGCUUUUGAAUGUGAAGAAUAAGCAGGUCAGGUAAUGGGCGUGCGGUGACGGUAGCAUUUGAAUAAGAGGCGGCUAAUUACGUGCCAGCAGCCGCGGUAACACGUAAGCCUCGAGCGUUGUUCGGAAUUAUUGGGCGUAAAGGGUAUGUAGGCGGAGCUGAAAGCCUGUCGUGAAAUGCAGAAGCUUAACUUCUGAGCUGCGAUGGGAACUUCAGUUCUGGAAUCACUGAAGGGCAGCCGGAAUUCCAGGUGUAGGGGUGAAAUCUGUAGAUAUCUGGAAGAACACCGAUGGCGAAGGCAGGCUGCUGGCAGAUGAUUGACGCUGAGGUACGAGAGUGCGGGUAGCGAACAGGAUUAGAUACCCUGGUAGUCCGCACAGUAAACGAUGCACACUAGGUGUAGGGGCAGAAGUCUCUGUGCCGGAGCGAACGUGAUAAGUGUGCCGCCUGGGGAGUACGACCGCAAGGUUGAAACUCAAAGGAAUUGACGGGGGCCCGCACAAGCGGAGGAACAUGUGGUUUAAUUCGAUGAUACGCGAGGAACCUUACCCGGGCUCGAACGGCUGGUGAAGAGAUCCAGAGAUGGUGACGUCCUUCGGGACACCAGUCGAGGUGCUGCAUGGUUGUCGUCAGCUCGUGCCGUGAGGUGUCGGCUCAAGUGCCAUAACGAGCGCAACCCUUGCCGUCAGUUACCAGCACGCAAAGGUGGGGACUCUGACGGGACUGCCACCGCAAGGUGUGAGGAGGGGGGGGAUGACGUCAAAUCAGCACGGCCCUUACGUCCGGGGCGACACACGUGUUACAAUGGGGGUUACAGCGGGGGACUACCUGGUGACAGGAUGGGAAUCUCGAAAAGCCCUCUCAGUUCGGAUCGGAGUCUGCAACCCGACUCCGUGAAGCUGGAUUCGCUAGUAAUCGCGCAUCAGCCAUGGCGCGGUGAAUACGUUCCCGGGCCUUGCACUCACCGCCCGUCA
RNAcentral lists this ribosomal RNA (1402 nucleotides) under uncultured bacterium. Its description in RNAcentral is "partial 16S ribosomal RNA". It matches the Rfam family "Bacterial small subunit ribosomal RNA". The record is from RNAcentral.